RNAcentral lists this ribosomal RNA (274 nucleotides) under uncultured bacterium. RNAcentral describes it as "partial 16S ribosomal RNA". It matches the Rfam family "Bacterial small subunit ribosomal RNA", at positions 523 to 796 of the family's 1533-position model. The record is from RNAcentral.
AGACGGAGGGUGCAAGCGUUAAUCGGAAUUACUGGGCGUAAAGCGCUCGUAGGCGGCUUGUUAAGUCGGAUGUGAAAGCCCGGGGCUCAACCUGGGAACUGCAUUCGAUACUGGCAGGCUAGAGUAUAGUAGAGGCAAGUGGAAUUCCGGGUGUAGCGGUGAAAUGCGUAGAUAUCCGGAGGAACAUCAGUGGCGAAGGCGACUUGCUGGACUAAUACUGACGCUGAGGAGCGAAAGCGUGGGGAGCAAACGGGAUUAGAAACCCCGGUAGUCC